GGGCUACGGAUAGGGAAGGACUGGCGUGGAGACUUUUCGGGGAGGGUGGAGCCACUGUGGUGGCUGCUUGCCCAUACGUGUUUGUCAACACUGGCAGAAGUGUGCACCGAAAUGGUGACUAUCAUUCCUCCCCUGGAUACCUAUGUUCUUUCUCUACGAGAAUGACCUUCUACAGAAGUGCAAACAGAUGAUGCCAGUUUGAGGUCUUUGGGUCAUUAUGGGGAUGCCCUCAAAUGGGAUUAAGGAGUUGCGGUGGUCACAGUGUCUCCUCAUAGCAAUAGAACGCCGACUAAGAUGAUCAUGGAGAGCUGGAGGAGAUAGUGUUCCUCCAUCCAUACUGCUGUACCCAACGCAGCUCAUUGACAUGACAACAGAUAUUUGGAAAGGCAUCUGGAAGAACCAUAAAAAAAAAGCAGCAAUUAAAGAGCUGGAGUGAAGACACUGUGGGCGGAAGAGGCACACCCAAAAGCCGUAAGGUUACUGAAUAGAGUCUUAGUGCAAGAGAACUGGAUGGCAAGUUCUUAUUGUUGAAGACGCCAAACACUUUGGCUGAAGGACGGAGAGAAGUGAGGAUGGGCCUGAUCUGGAAACUCACUCCCUGACUGCCGGGGGGGAUUGUCGACAGUCCUGCCAUUAUUGACCCUGCAGGCUACACUACCAAGAUGCCAGGAAAGACGGGGUGCGACAGUGAUGCAGCCUUUAUGGUGUAGUUCACUGCUUGCACAGGAGAGCACUCACUUUUAGUACUUUGUAAGUCAGGACAAAAACUUGUGGCCAGAGAAGCUCCUGGCUCCAAGGUCCGGGGAAGCUAUUGCUGCUGUUAAAUGCGUAUGAUACGCCUAUCAAAUUGCCUUCUAAACAUUUAUGCUUAUAUCCAUAGAUUACUGUUGCUGUCAGCCUUAGUUAUGGAGGGGAAUUUCUUUUUUGCUGUGGGGGGUGGUUAUUAUGGAAACGUAAAACUGUUAAGAAUAAGUGACAGGCUGGGUGGUGUGGUGGCACACGUCUUUAAUCCCAGCACUCGGGAGGCAGAGGCAGGCGGAUCUCUGUGAGUUCGAGGCCAGCCUGGGCUACAGAGUGAGUUCCAGGAUAGCCAGGGCUACACAGAGAAACCCUGUCUCGAAAAAAAGAGUAAGUGACAAUUGCUGUGGUCCAGUGAGGUGGCAUAAAAUCACCACCUGUCCUGGUUAGAUUUUGUCAGCUGGACACAAGCUAGAGUCAAGUGGGAAGGAGCCUCAACUGAGAAAACGCCUCCAUCCAUCGGUAUUGCCCAUAUGCAAGACUGCAGGGCGCCAUCGUCUUAAUUGCUACUUGAUCGGGAAAGACCCAGUCUACUGAGGGUGGUGCCGCUCCUGUUCUGAGCCGUGUAACGGAGUGAGAUAAAUGAUCUGUGAGGAUCAAUCCAGUAAGCAGCAUGCUUACUUCUGCUUCAGUUUCUGCCUCUGAGUCCCUGCCAUGGCUUCCCUCAGGGGUGGACUGUGAUCUGAGAGGUACAAGAUGAAAUAACCCUUUCCUUCCCAAGUUUCUUUUGGACAUGGUGUUAUAUCACAGCAAUAGAAUCCUUAACUAAGACACCACCCGCCUAGAUCAGCCCUUCUGAGGCUCUGGGGACAUCGUUGAAGAGGAGGUUAAGACAGACAGACAAACAAACAAAAGAGCAGGAGGAAGGGGCAGAGUGUUGUCUGUAUUUCCUCUGAAUUGAAAUACUUGUUCCUGGAAAGAGGGGGCGGUGCGCUCAUAAGAUAUAGAAAGCUAAUGAAAGGUGUAGUUUAUGAAGCCUACAAGGUACAAGAAGCUCAGAGAGUCAUAACACCUAUGAGGCCCUUUCCAAGUAUAUACAAGCAAUCACCAAUUGCCAGGAAAGGUGGAUACACAGGACAGACAGAGCGUCCGUGCAUUUGUCUGAAUGCUGUGCAGAGAACUUCAAUGAAGCCUCAUUCAUGUAUUACAUCUAUGCUGGGAGUGGGCUUUUUUUGGGAUACAACUGCCUUCCAGUCACCCAUGUA
Peromyscus maniculatus bairdii (prairie deer mouse) is the source of this 2003-nucleotide long non-coding RNA. RefSeq lists it as uncharacterized. NCBI's taxonomy places the organism in Eukaryota, Metazoa, Chordata, Mammalia, Rodentia, Cricetidae. The record is from RefSeq and is a predicted model, not a curated record.